Molecule: long non-coding RNA, 8870 nt
Organism: Corythoichthys intestinalis (scribbled pipefish)
Lineage: Eukaryota; Metazoa; Chordata; Actinopteri; Syngnathiformes; Syngnathidae
Exons: 4
Source: RefSeq, a predicted model, not a curated record
UCGCUAAUUGCGACAGAUGAUCUUGUCCUAAGCACAAAUUCACAGUCGCUGGACGAGGGGAGGUCUCACUCCCAAUUUUUUCAGAUGAAUGCAUUUGCCAGCAUAUUGAAUUUGGUGAGUAAUGGUUUCAAUCGUUUUCAUAUUUUGCGGUAUGACAAAGUUACUGCCGUUCGUUGCAGCUUGCGUUAAACACUGCCAGAGCUAGCCAAGUCUCCGGUGAAAAAAUAGCUCCCGUUAAGUUAGCGUCAAGCUUGUGUAUUUAAGGGGGAACUCCGGAUUUUUUGACAUCAGGCUUAAUCAUCGAGUUGGGGGGGGGUUAAUUAGUCAGUGGAGUAGAUUUCAAAAUAUUACGUAGCGUUUGUUAGCCUUUUAUUAUUUUUCAGGGCUCCAGAGUGGCUAUGCUAAUGCAAGUCAAUGUGCCCAAUUAGCAUGCUAAUAAAAAGUGAUAUUCACAGAUCUAACACAGUCAAAUAAAUUGAAAACGCAGCUCAAUGUACAAAAAUCCCCUGCAGCCCAAAAAAAAUGUCGCACCAAACUGCCGUAAUUUAUUCAAUUCCGCGGACUAUUGUUUCAUAUGCGUAAUGACACUCCACUAGAGAGCAGUGCUACGGCCACUUGUCUUCACGUCAGUCUGCACGAAAGGACAUCAGCAUGGUUGAAAUGUGCGUUUUAGAACUUGUGGAAACAUACAGAAGAAAUGGACAAAAGAAAGUGUCCACCGCUUCCCUGUGAAGAACGAGGAACUAUAUAAACUUUGGUUACUCUCUGCUGGAUAUGACAUUCACACACCGGUGGAAAAAGGACUAAAAUGGCGAAUUUGCAGCAAGCAUUUCGCAACAACCGACAUCAGGAAAACAUUUUGUGGCUAUUCUCUCCUGAAAUCAAAUGCUGUGCCUUCGACUGCCCAAACAGCUUCAAGAUCUUCUGAUAAACAGGUAAGAUCUGCUGUACCACAGUCCACGCCAGUGAAGGAUACCACAUCAACAUCAGGCCAGCCGAGGACAAUUCAACAAUCAUCACGAGUGACCUGGAGGUAUACCACAGUGCGAUGCUGAAGUACACCCAAAAGAGGCUCCACUUUGUCUAUAACUCCAUGAAGGCAAGGACACUGAUGUCUGUUAUGGACCACAAUGAAAAUGUCGGGCGCCAGCAACAGAGGAACGCUGAUGGCACUUUGAAAUACAGCUCGGAGUUUCCAAAGCAAACAAAAAGAUGGGUUGCCCGGAGCUGUUACGAGCCAACAACGCAGACAUUCAGAGAGAAUUUGGUGGAAGCGUGUCCUGGAAAGACGGCAGGAUUCAUCAUUAAAGUUUGCUGAGCCAGACUUCUAUUUCAAGCCUCCAACUACGAUUCCACCGAACAUUGUAAACAUCGAAAGGCCUGACAAAGAAAAAGUUAUUUUACAACGUCAGUCGCUUUAAAAAACAAGUAGGCAGACAUUUUCCUUUUUUUUUUUAAUAGAUAUUUUCUAAUGUAGAUAUUUUUGAAUGAACGACAAUAAAAAAAAACACACAUAUUGUAUAAUUUGUGAAAUGUGAAGGUUUAAAAGAUAAAAAGUUUCUGGGUAUGGAGGAAAUGGUAUGAAAAGGUAUGUAGGUAAGUCGUACUUAGAAAAAUUGCAUAGCAUCUUCAGCUUCCCUAAAACCAUUGUAGUUCUCACUGACAGAAGGGUACUUCUCACGGAUGCAGGAGACGACACACGAUGGAAGAACACGUCGCUGGCCUCUUCCCAGAUGUUCGCCUUUCAACGCCCACUCAAGAACAACCCUAUAUGCUACCAAUCAGAGUUGCCUAAAACAAAACCAUAAUAGAGGGUGAUUCAACAAGAAAGUUCCAAAAUCAUCAUGUUGUAGAUCAACAGUAUAUAAUAAAAAGUUACAGAACUCUAGAUUAUUUAGCAAUAUACAUUUUAAAUAUACCCAACAAAUAAGCAGCACUUGACUACAAGCAGCAGGAUUCAAAAUGAGGGGAAAAAGAAGAGACUUAUAGUCUGCAAGUUACGUAACUUCAAGUGCUCAAAGGUGCCCAUCACCGGCACUUGUAAUACAUGAAAUGAUACUUGAAGUUAUGUUCAACACAUUUGCCUAUGUCAGGGUUUUAUAAUGUUUUUCAUUUUUGACAUAUCCCGUGAUGAUUUAGGCACAUUCUCGUAAAUAAUUGCCAUACAGCUACUGCUUUUGGUAAUGACAUCAUGCUUUUACGCUCACAAUGCAUUACAGUUGAGAUGAUAUAGCUGCUUACCUGAAGUAGAAUGAAGCUUAGAGUAUACCAUAGGUAGUUUUAUUAUGAGACCAUUACGAAUAUUCGUCCAGCGGCAAAAUAAGGCAUGCAGGAAUUCACUUACCUCAUUGAUAGCUGUCCAUUUGGGCCUGCUGGCCUUGUUUUUUUCUUUCAGUUGAUCUUGUCAACGAAGAAAAAAGUUUUCUAGAACACCUUUGUUGAUAAGUGGUAAAAAGUCUCCGUGUUCACUUAUGCAUCGAAAUGCUUUUUCAUCGUCACUAUGCAGCGAUAUAUUGAGUUCAUGAAAACUCGUGUCGGGAAGUUGCGUCGUUGCCACAAAAAAAAAAAAAAAAAAAAAAAAAACUGCGGUGAAAAGACCAACGUGAUAUCCCUCCGCCCUGAGUGCGCGGCGCUUGUUCUCUGCAAAGCAACUGAAUUACUAAUGUUGCUCUUCAUACUGCAGUUAUAGACAUGCAAUGGUAAGUUUUAAUAACUUUAUCCUGAAAACAUAGCCAACACUACUGAUUGCAUGCGUCAUCGGUGAUUCUGUUGCGUGCAUAUGUUUUUUUUAUUGGUAUGCUAAUUGGGCACAUUGACUUGCAUUAGCAUAGCCCUGAAAAAUAAUAAAAGACUAACAAACGCUACGUAAUAUUUUGAAAUCUACUCCACUGACUAAUUAACCCCCCUCUAACUCGAUGAUUAAGCCUGAUGUCAAAAAAUCCGGAGUUCCCCUUUAACGGUAGUAUAAAAGCAGUGUUGUUAGUAACGCGUUAUGUGAGUAAUGCGUAACUGUAAUCUGAUUGCUUUCUUUCAGUAAAGAGCAAUCUAACGUGUUCAUUUUUCUUAAUCAGUAAUCUGAUUAAAGUUACUUUCCUUGAUGCCUGUGGGUUACUAUUUUGUUAUUGCCCCAUAAUGUAUGUAGAAUGAAGAAUACUGUAGUCAUGGGAGUGACAUCACAUGUCACAUUUUCUAAUCGGGGAUGGAAAAAAAACUGGUCACGUGUAUUACCAUGAUGCGUGAGCCAUGAGCACUGGGAGUUUGCGGCCAAAACAUAGCCUUGCUACCUCGCCAAGAUGCAAUGAAAUAGGCAGGAGAUAUACUACAAACGGCUGCAUUUGCACACUGGAAACACAGCCAUUACUUCACAUUCUUGUCCAGUAAAGAUGACAAAAAUAUCUCCGUGCGCUGCGGACUUUGCGCUGGCUCAAAAAGACUGUCGAAGCUAAAAGCAUCCAAUUCAAGCACCACUUGGAAUUACAGCACAACAGGUACCAAGACAGCCAGGACUUUUUGAUACUGCUCGUGCUCAAUCCUCGGUUCAAGCUCAGUUGUUGUUGAACGUUUUGAAAGCUUAGGUUUAAAGAAAUUCUAAAUAUCCAUCUUGCCUCUUCAGCUGUAGUUUUGGCUAAACAAAGCAAACGGCUGUCUCUAAGGUGCUAUAGUCACAUGAUCUGUUCGAAAAAUAAUUUGGACCCAUUAUGAAAUACUUUGAACGAUUCUUGUUCAUCUCAUUCAUUUUUGUUGUUUGUUUUAUCGCUCUAAAACUUUUAUAGACAACAUUUUAAUGGCCAUAUUCAAUGGUCGUUAUUUUAAAGGGGAAGUUCAGAAUUCUUUACAUUAGGCUUAAUCGUUGAGUUAGCUGGGGUUUAAUUAGUCGUUGGAGUUGAUUUGAACAAAUUCUGUGCAGUUUGCAUGUUAUUUGUUAGUUUCAGGGCUCCGGAGUGGCUAAACUAGCGCAAGUCAAUGGUGGUUGAAAUCAAGUUCCAUUUGAGGCGUGCUUAUUUGGUUUCACAUGAUGGAAUCAUACGCACAUUGGUGUGACGCUGUUCCUAAGGAUUUGCAAAGUUUAAUGUACAACAAGAAUUAUAUUGAGUGGAAACUGCAUGUAAGCCCAUAAAAAGAGAUCUUAAGUAUUGACUGCAUUUACACUCGUAAAAGGAGCACUUUAUCAAGAAAACGCCAGAUUACCGGAACAUGUGUCAUUCAGUAUUGUGGGUUGGUUGUAUUUUUAAUGUGGCGGCAACACUCAGAAGUUAAGUCAUUGAUGGGAAAACCUUUUUUAACAUAUUUAUUUGUGUAUGAAAAUCUACCACACGGUUUCAUAAACAUACUACCAUGCUGUAUCAUCAAUGUGAGAAAACUCCUUACAACUGCCAGACAGAUUGUUUUACUAAUAACAGUGGUUUAUUAUUAUUUCUUGUACUGUAUGUUAGUAAACUUUGACUUCAAACUAAUCAAGUGUUGUUACUGUAAGAUGACAGCAGCGACGUUGCCUGGCACGGCCAGACUGUUCUCCCUGUAUUUUUCAAACACUGUGAGAUUAGUCUGGGACCCAGCCCAUUAACGGCCUCUCGAGCAAGCACAAAAUCAACCGUCCAAUCAGAUUUGUUAAUUUGCGUGACGUGUCCGUAACGAGCAACGUCACUCUUCCGCGUCAGAAGUCGUCUCCAUAACAACACAGAUGGCGAACAGGAGAGGCGAGAAUAAUUUUCAAUCCAAGGUAAAAUCAGUUUUAAAUUACCAAAAACACAUCGACACAAGUCAUUGACAACAGUCUGUCUCGCGCUAGCCAUGUUGAAUAAACUCCGCUCAACUCGAAUGUUUACAUCCGCGCACAAGUCCCUCGUCGCUUUAAUAACGUCACGUUGCCCGUCGCUGAUUGGUCCACUCCGCUGUCUGUUUGCUGUGGUUUGCUCCGCCCUGAAAAUUUUAUCCGCUGAAUGGCGGCCAGACUCAAUAGCUGGAACAGUGGUGAGUCUGGUGUAACAGGCUAGCAGCGACAUUGAAUUAAAGUGAACAGGAGUUGCAGAAUUGGAGGAAAUUUUGGCUUCAAGAUUGUUAAAAACAUUUUCUGAUUUUACACUACCCAUUAACAUUAGGUAAUAAGCCAUUAAAGGCUUAAUAAAAUAAUCUUAAAGAUCAAUGGUAAAACUUAAGCCACAAUUAUUUUAUUUAUUUAGAAUAUUUGGCAUAUUCACAAUUACAUGGUUGCAGGUAACAGAGCUGCAAAUCUGUACUGUUAGUAUUUCCUCCAGAGUAGAAUCUAGCAAUAAAGCUAGCUAUUACGGCUGACCAAGAGGACAGAAACAGAGCCUCCCUUUAGGAGGUAGCAGCACUUUCUUAAAAAAGAUAUAAUUCGUCAUUUACCGUUAUAAAACUUGAAUUCAAUUAUGGCUUUUGAUUUUGAACUAUAAUUAUAUAUUUAUUGAAUGUAGCUUUAUAACUUGGUUGGGAAGGUUUGUUGCAAUUCGUUUUGUAAACCAAAAUAAUAAUGUUGUACUGUAUGUAAUACUGGUUGAAUUAUUUCCAAUGGUCUAAAAAUAUAUGUAUCGAUCAGAAGUCAAAACUUCUGUAUGGGGACAUCUCUACUUUCUUCUACUGCGAUUAAAAAAUGUUAUAGUAACAGUAAAACAGUAAGCAUGUAUGUUGUGGGACACACAUUCCUUGAAUAAAUAAUUAUAUAUUUAAAAUGGUUAUUAAAACAAAUGUUUCCUCAGUUACAAAAAACAGUGAUGAAACAAAAAAUACCAAAGAAAAAUAAUUUAAAUUUAAAUUUUAACUGAGAUUCAAUUUUAUCAUGGAAGUCCGUCGAAACUAUAUUUCCUCGCUCCUGUUCUUUUUGUAUUAAUCUAGUGAAAGGUUGUAUAUUGAUAGGGGCCUUUGAGGCUGUGUUUCCUGCUUCUUUUGUGUUAAAGGAACAUAUGAAGAGGGCCCCUGGCAGUGUUCGCCUUACGCCCCAAAAUUGCUAAGUCCGCCACUGGAAACCCAUCAAACAUCUCUUGGAGUGGGGCAAACUUUCUUCAGACCGAUGUCAAAGACUGGCUGAAAUAACUUCAGUGAGACACUUUUAGUAGCCAUCUACCAAAGGGGGUAACACUAGCUAUUAGGUGGUAGGGUGUCCUAACUUUUUCCUCAGUUAGAAUAUGCAUUUUUGGAUAUGUGAACAUUUCUUAAUAAAGAAUUGAAUUAGGGGCCUUUGAGGCUGCGUUUCCUCUUUCCUGCUUCUUUUGUGUUAAAGGAACAUAUGAAGAGUUCGCCUUAGGCCCCAAAAUUGCUAAGUCCGCCACUGAUGAGGGGUUUAAGUCAAGGCAGUGUUAAGUUUUAAGUCUGCUUUCGAAUCGAGAUGAUUUUAAAUUGGCAAUUCAGGUCAGGGUUAAAGUGCAUAUGACAUGACAAAAAAAUCUUAAAGAGCAUUAUUAUUGGAAUCAAAAUCAUAUGUCGAGACGAUUCAACUAAUUACAACAAUUUGGCAAAGCACAACUGAUGAGAAAUGAGUCUUAAAAUUUGCUGUUUAGCUUCUUUCAUUAUAGCGCUCUGGCACCUCCAUCUUUGUGAAGACAUCAGUCAAUAAGCGAUUUUAGCAGAUUUAGCACUGAGCCCAAUGGAGAGGAAGCGUUUUUCAGCGAUCUUGGUUCAAGUGUGGAUUUUUCUAACUAUAUUGUCGAUCCAGAGGACCUAUGUGGCAUACAGCCAUAUAUGUUUGAGUCGUAUUUGGAGGAGGAGGAAGAUUCAGAGCGAGAAAAAGGCAAGAGAGACAACAAACACGAGGCUGACGACUAGAGCAGACUGCAUUUGCAACACAAAAUGUCAUCAUUGUUUUUAUCUCUCUACUCCCAAUAUUUUUUCAGGAUAUUCAUGUAUCUAAGUAUUUUUUCCCUGAUUGCCAUAUAAAUGGUAUGGUCAUGACAAAUAAGUCUUGUGCUAAAUGGAAUAGGAAAUAUAAAAAAUGUGUUUAUUCAGUACGACAUGGCUAAAUUACUGCAUAAUCGUCAAUACUGCCGACUUCUUAAACCUCCCGAACGGUAUUUUAUGCCACUGGAGUUAGUCCAGCUCCUGUCAUUUCCCUGCCGGACUCGGAGACAGAGGAAAGAGCGUAAACAAAACAGGAGGCAUGAGAGCUAGUCUACAUGCUAACCUGACCUGAGCAGCUCUUCGAAGUCUCUUUUUCGCCUUUCGAACGCGAAAAAUCACACAAAAUUACCUCGACUCAUUUCACACAUGGCAACGGAAGUAAUUGCCUUCACCGAUCGGCCAGCCUCCUGCGGCAAGCAACUUUCAGCGGACUAUUACAGUUUGUCAUUCCCAUGCUGCGGCCCCGGCCAGCAGUCCCACAGUAGUGCUCGUCGCCGAGAAAUGAACGCCGAAGAUGGCUCCUUCUCGGCGGACAAAUUGGCCGGCUUGUCACACACCAUGGUCGCCGGCUGAUGAAUAUAAGCACGCCCGGCUUCACUGGCCGACGGCAAGCAUUGUCACCCACAAAAUACAAGCCACCUCCUUAUUAAAACGCAUGCCAUGAUCCCAGUAUUUGACGUAAUAUAAAACACGUAGCUUCCUCACUUCCUCGUCUGUCCCUCGAUCGUCUUGUUUUGCCGAUUCUUCUCAGUGAACAGUAUCUUUUGAAAAGCCAAAAAGACUCACACCACUCUCCCUGGUGUAGCAACAAAAGCGUGCAGCACAUUGGGCUGGUUUGACACAAAAAAUAAACAAUGAGCAAAUAAACAAAUUAAUCCUCAAAAUGAGCUGAAUCCUUCUCCUUAGAAUAGUAUGGCUAUAUAGUGAAGAUGACCUCAUUCUCGGAUUUCAAAUCCGCCUUGUUCUUCAACCCUGGACUCUGGCCAGUCAUUUUCAUGGCGUGGGAUUCAAAAAGUUGAAUAAAUAUCUCGAUUCAUCACUAGUCACCCGGUGUCAUCACUAGUCACCCGGUGUCCCCUUUCCCCUCUCCCCUCUGGGGACUCCCCUCUGGGGAGGGGCUAUUUUUCAGCUGCAGCCUCCUGACUGUCCGGACCCCUGGCUGGAUAGACGUCCUCGCUGCUACCCCCGUCUCAUCUGGCUAGAUGGACCUCUUCUUGCUCCUUUACUCCACUGCAUUUUUACAGACUGUAACUUCGCUUGCUAAUUCCCAUUAGCAGUUCUGGGGUUCCUGUCUAUCCGUCCUGGGAGUGGAUCUCUCCUGACUGUGGUACUCCCCGAGGUUUCUCAUUUUUCUCCCAAUUGACUCUGGGGUUUUUGGAGUUUUUCCUUGCCGGCAUGGAGGGUCUUAAGGAUAGGGGAUACCCAGGACUUGAACUGUAUCUAUUCAUCUUUGUUGCUUCAUUUCUAAUUGUGUAUCAUAUUGCCUCUGUAAAGUCCUUUGAGACAUUUGUUGUGAUUGAGGGCUAUACAAAUAAAAUUGAAUUGAAUUGAAUUGAUUGCUUCCACACACAUCCAAGCAGUUCAUUUCAUUCAUGAGCAUAAAAUACCGUGUGUAAUAUGAAAUAAACAUGCUUCUUGUGUAAUAUGCCCGUUAGGGUGGGGGAAAAAAAGUUGAAUUGACCCAUUUCGCGUGAUGUCACAUAACGUCCGGACGGUUGCCAUCGUGGGUGUUUCCUCAAACACACACGAGAAAACACUGGGUUUUCACUGCUAUGCUUUCGCCGAAGCAGGCAAAAUGUAAACCAAUUAGACGUUGUCUUUCGUUGUGUCAGCCAAAAGUUCAAUACGCGAUGUUUCAUUCAUACAUACCAGACAUACAUACAUGCACAUCAUGUGAAAUUAAAGAUGGUUUUGUGGUGUCAUGGAUUUUUUUAUUUGGGAAUGCAUUUUUUACAAUGUGGGACUAUAAUCAUCAUUCUUUUUCAUCCUUACACGAAAAGUAAACAUUUGACAAGCUU